GACGAACGCUGGCGGCGUGCCUAAUACAUGCAAGUAGAACGCUGAAGAGAGGAGCUUGCUCUUCUUGGAUGAGUUGCGAACGGGUGAGUAACGCGUAGGUAACCUGCCUUGUAGCGGGGGAUAACUAUUGGAAACGUAACCUAAUACGCCAUACCAUGGGUGACCCCAUUUAUUUAUUUUAAAAGGGGAAUUUGCUCACCACAAAAAUGAACUGCGUUGUAUUAGCUAGUAGGUGAGGUAAUGGCUCACCUAGGCGACGAUACAUAGCCGACCUGAGAGGGUGAUCGGCCACACUGGGACUGAGACACGGCCCAGACUCCUACGGGAGGCAGCAGUAGGGAAUCUUCGGCAAUGGGGGCAACCCUGACCGAGCAACGCCGCGUGAGUGAAGAAGGUUUUCGGAUCGUAAAGCUCUGUUGUAAGUCAAGAACGGGUGUGAGAGUGGAAAGUUCACACUGUGACGGUAGCUUACCAGAAAGGGACGGCUAACUACGU
This 495-nucleotide ribosomal RNA is filed under the name uncultured bacterium. RNAcentral describes it as "partial 16S ribosomal RNA". It matches the Rfam family "Bacterial small subunit ribosomal RNA", at positions 28 to 506 of the family's 1533-position model. The record is from RNAcentral.